CUCCAGGGUUGUCAGUUCCUCCUUGCCGUGACUCAUGCCUAUUGUGCCAGGCAGGGAGCACUCUGCCCUGCAGCCUUACAGGUGGUAUCGACCGGCUCGGGGAGACAGUUCCCGCCAGGCUACGCAGUGGAGCGCCGCACAGCGCGCCUUCCCUCCUCCUAGCUGCCAGCCCAGCAGUUCCAACCCAGCACCAGCAGGCCUGCUUGGUCGAUCUUCGAUCCAAAGAUGAGGCGCGGCUGGAAGAUGGCUCUGUCCUGGGGGCUGCGGUGCUGCCGCCGAGUACUUUCCUGGGUGCCUGUGCUUGUUAUCGUCCUCGUUGUGCUUUGGUCCUACUAUGCCUAUGUCUUUGAACUCUGCCUAGUGACUGUUUUGAGCCCAGCAGAAAAAGUUAUCUACCUCAUAUUCUACCAUGCCAUCUUUGUGUUCUUUACCUGGACCUACUGGAAGUCUAUAUUUACACUUCCACAACAGCCAAACCAGAAGUUCCACUUGUCCUAUUCAGACAAAGAACGCUAUGAAAAUGAAGAAAGACCUGAGGUCCAGAAGCAGAUGCUCAUCGAUAUGGCCAAAAAGCUACCAGUUUACACAAGAACUGGGAGUGGAGCUGUUAGAUUCUGUGACCGGUGCCAUUUAAUCAAGCCAGAUCGCUGCCACCACUGCUCUGUCUGUGCCAUGUGUGUAUUAAAAAUGGACCAUCAUUGCCCUUGGGUUAAUAAUUGCAUUGGAUUUUCCAACUACAAAUUCUUUCUUCAGUUUUUAGCUUAUUCUGUUCUCUACUGCCUGUACAUUGCUACAACAGUCUUCAACUAUUUCAUCAAAUACUGGAGAGGGGAAUUGCCCAGUGUUCGCUCAAAGUUCCAUGUUCUUUUUCUCCUCUUUGUGGCCUGCAUGUUUUUUGUCAGCCUUGUGAUUCUCUUUGGUUACCAUUGUUGGCUUGUCAGCAGAAACAAAACCACCUUAGAGGCCUUCUGUACUCCAGUGUUUACAAGUGGCCCAGAGAAAAAUGGGUUCAACCUUGGCUUCAUCAAAAAUAUCCAGCAGGUGUUUGGAGAUAACAAGAAGUUCUGGUUAAUACCUAUUGGGUCCAGCCCUGGUGAUGGACACUCCUUCCCUAUGAGAUCUAUGAAUGAGUCACAGAACCCACUGCUAGCAAAUGAAGAGCCUUGGGAAGAAAAUGAGGAUGAAAACCGAGAUUAUCCAGAAGUUUCAUCAUCUCUUGCUGUGGAAACAGAAACAUAGCAGUUUACACAUUUCCUGCAUCUCUCAGGAUUCUUUCCUGAACUCCAGACCUGAAUAACCAAGUGCUUUUCAACUUCACCCACCCAAAAACCUAUUUCCUGUUUUGUUCCCACUCCAUCUCCUACCCACAUCCAAUUAAUCACCAAGGACCCUCCAUCUCCCAUGAGGCUUACAGAAUUCAAUGUUGGGAACCAUUUUAAUCUUCAAAAUAAGUCACCAUAGUGGAUUGAAAGCUUCACAAUUUAAAAGCAUUCCAUCAAAUAUUUGCUGUGCAGAUAGAUGUUUCAGGACUUUACAAGCUAUUUAAUUUACUAACUGAACCCAUUGAUCUGGUAGCAAUUAACUCAAGACAGUCUUCCUCUCUUUCUUCAUUUCUCCUCCCCAAUCUGUAAAAACCUGAAUGUAACAUAUAUACCUUCCCAGAGACUCUUGUUAUUUCUCUUGUCGGGUAAAGAGGAAUUCACAAGACUUCCAUGGAGUCUUUCACUCCCCUGGAAAGACUGUUAAUUAUCUUUAUAGGGUCUUUGUGGUAUGAGGGGAAUCAGAUAUGUUUGCUGCUUGUGUGCCUGUGCAUUUAUAAGCAUGCAUAUGUGCAGCAUAUUUACACAAAAUUCUGCUGCGUGUUAUGAAAAUCAAGGUUAAAAUCCAAGGUUUUUAUUCAACUCUGCGUUUUUCCCUAAAUAGCAAUUUAAAUAUUUGCUGGGCUGUGAAAACCAUCCCUAUAUCAGGCAUGUAAAAUUCAAGAGGCAGAUUCAACACCCCAUAAUCAAGGUCCUCAGUUGGGAAUUGAACAAUGCAAAGCCUGUUCUCUGUCAUAAAUGUGUAAUGUUCCUGAAAGCACCACAACUAAUAGAGAAGAUCAGAUCUCCACUUUAUUAAAUAAACAUAAGUGUUUUAAGGACUUUUAAUGUCAGGCUUUGGUAAAAUUCUCCAGUUACUUUUAUUAUUUUCUCUGAUACCUAGCUUUUUUUGCCUAUAUUAAUUGUUCUUAUGAUGAAAGAAAAACCAUAACCCUAAGUUAUGGACCAUAGGUUUUGUUAGGGGCUUAAAGAUAAUUUUCAGGUUUAAUUACAAAACUGUUCAUAAGGUAAGGCUUCAAAGUUGAAAUUAGCCUAAGGAUUAGCACUAAAGAUCUUUGUUUUCACAGCAGGGGUUAGUGUACAGACAAUGAUAACCCAUAGUAAUAUGCCAAUACUUUCUUUUCCUUUUUUUUUCCUUUUUUUUCCUUGUUGUAGCUUCAGUGGUAGCUCAGCCAUUAAGAUAGUUUACAUUCAUUUUCCCAUUUAUUUAUAAUCAACCUUUCUUUUAGUCCUAGUGCCCAAAUCAAUGAGUAUGAACACUAAUGCUGCUUCUUUAUAAUAAUACCUAAGAACAUUGAUGGUUUUCAUUUCUCAGCCAGUGUUCUUGUGCCCAGCUACUGACAACAGAAGUCCCAACUCUUGCAGAGAUAAGUGGGAAUUAGAGGCAUCUUACAGAUACCAAGGAGUUAAGCUCCUAUAAGGACAUUAGGUUUACUAAAUUAUGCCCCCUAAAACCUUUUUGAGUAAAAGAAAACUUGCCUACUACAAACUAUUUGAUGUUCAAACUCCAGUGGAGGUGAGAAGGUGAGCAAUUUAGCUACUUAAAGAAACAAAAAAAACUUGUUCAUUUAGAUCCUCUAGGUAAUUUUGGUUGAGGUAAGACUUUUAGCAUAAAUUAAAUGGAUUGUGGCCAGCAUUUCAUUUGAAAGAAUACUAUACGUGACAAAAUCUAUUAGGGCCAGGGAAUGUUUCUCAAACUCAGAUGCUAAGAAGCAACCUAGAAGACUAUACACACUAGGUUUCACAAUGACCUCAUGUAUGGGAAGCUUUAUCCCCCUUUCUUUCUUCCUCCAAAACACUCUCUUGUUUAGGUUUUUCUUGAAAGUUUAUUUGGCCAUUCACAUGGUCUUAUGAUGGACAAACCUUGCCUUUUAUUGAUAUAGUAAUGCACCUUUCUCUAAAGAUAGGCCAUUAUUUACUCCACAGUCAGUGGGCUUCGAAGAGGUCUCUCUCUUUCCCAUCAUCUUCUGCCAAGGUUUAGGCAGGGUAGCUUCUCACUAUGAUUCAAAGUCAGGAAAGAAUCGACCAUUUCUUUGAUGCAUAGAGUGUAUCAGAGUUUGGCACUGAUAGAAAUCAGGUCAUAAAAGAUAGUAUCAAGAAAUUAUAGGGAAGUACUGGAAGGAAGAGUAAAGCUCAGGAGAGCUAUAAUGCAAAGCUGACUUAAACCAUCUUCAAAGGGCAAAUAAAUAAGAGUUUUAAGUGGGGGGGGGGGCUUGGAGAAAUAAAUCCUAUUCCUAUCUCAGCACCUUUAUUCCACUAGCUUAUAGACUCUAAUAAUACCCCUAUCCAUAGAUCAUUGAGUAUUGCCUACCGUACAUAGGCACUCCCCCUCAUUGAUUGACUAUUGAUUGACAGAGAGAUUAACCUAAUAAUUAGUAUAUCUUGAUCUGGCUCUGUUGCUUGUUUUCCUUGAGGCCCUGUCAAAUAACCUCUGUGGGAUCUCAUUCCCCAAUUUUUUGGUACCCAUAUUCCACAUUUGCAAAAUUAAGAUACUCAUUAUUAGGAUCCUAAAACUACUAAAGGUGCUAUGUAACUCCCUAGUGCUCUUAUAUAAGUCUUUCAUUGAAGGACUGGGAUGAAAACUUGAACCAUAACUAACCUAAUCAGUGUGCUCCAUUCUUUCUUCCAUGCUCUCAUUGCUGACUUGUUCUUGCAGAGUUUAGAAUACUUUAUUAAAGUUCUUCAAUUCAUUCUAACAAUGUCCUUGGAAUAGAAAUUAUUUUACCCAUGGAACAUCUAGGAAAAUUAAGGCCAAAAAAAAAAAAUGAAGUGGCCUCCAAAAGCACAUAGCUGUCUGGGACAGAACUCAGUUAUCAUGUCCAGUGAAUGUUAGACUGACUUGGCUUCCCAGUACUGGAAUUACCAUGGAACAGCUUAGAACACUGAGAUAAAUUAGGGCAGGAUCACAUUUCAGAAAAUUUCCACUUUGUCCAACAUCUAAAAGUAUGCAAUUAAAUAACUCUUAUUUUCUAUGUGAUAUGUUAUAUAUGUCUCUUUCCCACAUUGGUCCCAUGUAACUCACAUAUUUCACACUAUGCGACAUCAGCCAUUGCCAUUAUCUCCUCUGGCACCCAUAGAGCCCAAUCUCAGGCCUGUCUUUGCCAGAGAAAAGAAUGUGCUUCCCCAUGUUUAUGCCAAAUUGCACAAAGCGUAGACAUUGAGGUUAAUGGAGAUUUAAGCACAAUCCCAAGCAGGUAUGUUUUAAGAAUAUUGAAUGUACAUUAUUGUGACAUGCACCUGAAAUGUAACAUGGCCUAAAUUCAUAGGAAUGUAACAGUCAUGCAAAGCCUAUCCCUUUUACCUCUCAUCACACAUAUAUGUCUACUACAUACAUGUGUGCACACAUAUACGCACACUACAUGCUUCCCUCAAAGUAGGCUGCUUGGUCAUCAGGUGCAAAUACUUUAAAGGAAUGAUUCUUUGUCCUCUCCUUUUAGAAAAAAGUCCAACAGCCACUUCAAGUGAAGAACACUCCAUUUAUACAUUCUAAAACUUCUACUUCCAGAGUAGCUAUGAUAUUCAGUUGGUGCAAAAGACAAGGUUGUUAAACCCUUUCACAAGUCCUAUGUUCUUAGAAAAUUGAUGAGUUCCAUGUAAUCAGUAGGAAAUGGUUUAUGAGGCAUGGUACAUCUGCAUUUCUUUAACCUUUGCUGUAAUGUACCAUAUUAAGUUGUAGUCUUUUGCAUGCAGGUGUUAUGUAAUAUAAUAAUGAAUGGAUGACUCCUAAGAGCAUGCAACCAACAACUAUUUGCUUCCCCAAAAGGGCUAGGACUGUGUCCUGCAGUGUUUAAAACUAUUACAUUUGUUUUUUGUAGCAGAGUGGUAUGUGGCCAUCAGCAGAAUGAGUUAAGAUGGACAAUGAGUGCAAUAUAUCAGGAAACAGAUUUUUUGUAGGGAAUGACAGUAAAAGCAAAAAAAACAACAAAAAAAAAACAAGGUAAGAUGUAUUCAAGGAAUAAUUGCUGUCACCCUGCUGGAUAAAUCAGCAAAGAGACACAGCAUGAAAGCUGGUACUUAGUCUUGGUAAUAUAUGAAAUAUGUUGGAGAGCCAGAAAAAGAAAGGCACUGGGGCUCUAGCAGUUAAGCUCAACUUGCCAAUUUGCUACAAAUCCUUUUUUUCCACUAAUCUGCUCAAAGUUAUUGUAUACAGUAUUCUCUAAAUCAUGUGUCUUGCUACAGAAAUAUCCACAAAUACUAAGUUUUAUCUUCCUAUGUCCUUUAUUAAAAGCAUAUGCAUAAAA
Leopardus geoffroyi (Geoffroy's cat) is the source of this 5560-nucleotide RNA transcript. It is a transcript of the gene named zinc finger DHHC-type palmitoyltransferase 15, with no coding region annotated. The transcript is spliced from 13 exons. The record is from RefSeq and is a predicted model, not a curated record. NCBI's taxonomy places the organism in Eukaryota, Metazoa, Chordata, Mammalia, Carnivora, Felidae.